UGUUGUGAAGCCAAAUAAGAAUCACUUGACUACUCUCAGAGUCACUUUGGAUAAAUAUUUUACCGAAGGAAAAGUAACCCCUGAACGACUGGAUUAUUGAACCUUUUGUAGCUGAGGCAGUGACCUUGUCUCAGCUCUCAGAUGACACUCAGGAGAAUAUGAUGGAACUUCAGAGUGAUAAGAUACUGGACAUUCAAUUUAAAAAACAAGUCUUUGGGGGAUUUUAGGCUGAAAGUUGGCUCAGGAUAUUCAGCUUUGUCAAAGUGUGUGAUCAAAGCUCUUUUACUGUUUGGUUCGUCUUAUUUGUGAGAGAUCGGCUUCUCUUCGCUGGCUGUGUUAAAGACAAAGUAUCAUUCGAGAUUGUUUACCCAGAUGUGCUGAGGAACCAAAGAUGUGAAAGGCAAGCGUGAGAUUAUUCAUCAUGACAGAAUCUAUAUUUCUCUACCUGAGUGCUAUUUCAACACAACAUUCCUGAGCUCACCCAUUCUUUUUAUGUCUGAGAGGAAAGUGGGAGAGCAGGAAACCAGUCAAAUCAUCUGUCCAGAGUUGGUGAAUUUCAGGCAAGUAAUUUUUCCCUUCUCUAAGAAUACUUAAUUGACUGAAUUCUUACCCUUGAACAGAACAAAGCUUGAGGGAAACUUUUCCCAAACAAUGCAUUCCCCAAAUAGUAGAGAAACAAAGAGGCAGUUUCAUGAAGCCAGAAGAGUUGUGAAGGCUUCCUAAAUCUCUCCUAGUUUUAUAAUGUAGUCCUGAGUAGAUUCUGUUCAUCACGAACUUUGUAGCACCAAUGUUUCCUUCAUCAAGGCAACAUCCUGCAUCAGCGCCUUGCCCCAAGCCAAAGAGCC
Molecule: long non-coding RNA, 845 nt
Organism: Gopherus evgoodei (Goodes thornscrub tortoise)
Lineage: Eukaryota; Metazoa; Chordata; Testudines; Testudinidae
Exons: 3
Source: RefSeq, a predicted model, not a curated record